RNAcentral lists this ribosomal RNA (371 nucleotides) under uncultured bacterium. RNAcentral's name for it is "bacterial SSU rRNA". It matches the Rfam family "Bacterial small subunit ribosomal RNA", at positions 527 to 896 of the family's 1533-position model. The record is from RNAcentral.
AGAGGGUGCGAGCGUUGUCCGGAAUCACUGGGCGUAAAGGGCGCGUAGGCGGCCUGAUAAGUAGGGGGUGAAAUCCUGUGGCUUAACUGCAGGGCUGCCUCCUAGACUGUUAGGCUCGAGCACGGUAGAGGCAGAUGGAAUUCCCGGUGUAGCGGUGGAAUGCGUAGAGAUCGGGAAGAACAUCGGUGGCGAAGGCGGUCUGCUGGGCCGUUGCUGACGCUGAGGCGCGACAGCGUGGGGAGCAAACAGGAUUAGAUACCCUGGUAGUCCACGCCGUAAACGAUGGACACUAGGUGUCGGGGGUAUCGACCCCCUCGGCGCCGCAGCUAACGCAUUAAGUCGACCGCCUGGGGACUACGGCCGCAAGGCUA